GUUUUUUAACUUGACAACUGAAGAAUAAACUCCUAUGGGAGGAGUGGCUUGCAUGGUGAUGAAGCUGGAACAAUUAUUCCUCCAUCAGUGUGAAGAG
Non-coding RNA from Python bivittatus (Burmese python), 97 nucleotides. The record is from RefSeq and is a predicted model, not a curated record. Lineage: Eukaryota; Metazoa; Chordata; Lepidosauria; Squamata; Pythonidae.